CCCCACUGCUAUCGGGAUAGGACUAAGACAUGCUAGUCGAGUGACUCAGGCAAAACGAGUCACGGCACACAGCUCAGUAACACGUGGCUAAUCUGCCCUUGGGACAAGAACAACCCCGGGAAACUGGGGCUAACUCUUGAUAGGCGAAGAACACUGGAAUGUGUCUUCACCCAAAAAACUUCACGUUAUCCUCGUGAAGUCGCCCAAGGAUGAGGCCGCGACCGAUCAGGUUGUUGGCGAGGUAAUGGCUCACCAAGCCUUUUACCGGUGCGGGCCGUGGGAGCGGGAGCCCGGAGAUGGGUACUGAGACAAGGACCCAGGCCCUACGGGGAGCAGCAGUCGCGAAAACUUUGCAAUAAGCGAAAGCUUGACAGGGCUAUCCCGAGUGCCAUCCGCUGAGGAAGGCUUUUACCCAGUCUAGAACGCUGGGGGAAUAAGGAGAGGGCAAGUCUGGUGUCAGCCGCCGCGGUAAUACCAGCUCUCCGAGUGGUGUGGAUGUUUAUUGGGCCUAAAGCAUCCGUAGCUGGCUAAGUUAGUCCCUUGUUAAAUCCACCGAAUUAAUCGUUGGAUUGCGGGGGAUACUGCUUGGCUAGGGGACGAGAGAGGCAGACGGUAUUUUCGGGGUAGGGGUGAAAUCCUAUAAUCCCGGGAAGACCACCAGUGGCGAAGGCUGUCUGCUAGAACGCGCCCGACGGUGAGGGAUGAAAGCUGGGGGAGCGAACCGGAUUAGAUACCCGGGUAGUCCCAGCUGUAAACGAUGCAGGCUAGGUGUUUGGACGGCCACGUGCCGUUCUAGUGCCGCAGGGAAGCUGUUAAGCCUGCCGCCUGGGGAGUACGAUCGCAAGAUUGAAACUUAA
This 857-nucleotide ribosomal RNA is filed under the name archaeon enrichment culture clone I03_3131. RNAcentral's name for it is "bacterial SSU rRNA". It matches the Rfam family "Archaeal small subunit ribosomal RNA", at positions 21 to 859 of the family's 1478-position model. The record is from RNAcentral.